AAGAUAAAGACGAUGACACUGAACCACCAGUAGAAGAAGAAGGUAAAGAUGAUGAAACUCAACCUCCUUCAAUAAACGGAGUCAGCACUCCAUCUGAGACACAGACUCAACAGUCAGAUAACCAAGUGAAGAAGACAAGAGGUCCAACAAAAAUGCAAAAAGUCGCAACACAUAUAGAGGACAAGGUAGAGGUCGAGUUUAAUGCUAUAGGAGAGCAUGUUGGUCGUGGAUCAGUGACAUUAUCCUCCUUCCUUGGUCCUCUUGUCAGAGAGCAUGUGUCUGUACUGCUAGAUGACUGGAGACAUCUAGAAGAGAAAACAAAAGAUGCUUUGUGGGAGGAAAUACAGGGAAGAUUCAACUUGACAGAAGAAUGACAAAAGGAUGUAGUGUUCAAGCAGAUGGGUUGUUUGUGGAGGGCCUCUAAAUCUAGACUUUCUUCCAUGGUUAGAGCUACAAAAAAACAAGGCUCAACUACAGAAGAUGAAACCCAGCAACAUACAAUCUGCUACAUCUUGAAACAAUUAGGUGAAAGGAAGAUAUACUUCAGCUUUUCAGGAACAAAGUGAUAAGUACAGGGAACUCAGGAAGGGUCAAAUUCCUCAUACCACUAGCCGUAAAGGCAUGAUUCGGCUUGCAUAUGAGAUGAAAAAAAACACUUCAGAUCCUAAGCAAGUAACUAGAACUAAGGUUUGGGUUGCUGGUCAUACGCAUUCUGAUGGAAGACCAGUGCAUGAAGAAUUCGCAGAUACCAUAGAGAAGAUAAAGAGAAUUGACAGUGAAAUGGACU
Molecule: long non-coding RNA, 787 nt
Organism: Brassica oleracea var. oleracea
Lineage: Eukaryota; Viridiplantae; Streptophyta; Magnoliopsida; Brassicales; Brassicaceae
Exons: 5
Source: RefSeq, a predicted model, not a curated record